Molecule: ribosomal RNA, 465 nt
Filed under: uncultured bacterium
Lineage: Bacteria
Description: partial 16S ribosomal RNA
Rfam family: Bacterial small subunit ribosomal RNA
Source: RNAcentral
CCUACGGGGGGCAGCAGUAGGGAAUCUUCCACAAUGGGCGAAAGCCUGAUGGAGCAACGCCGCGUGGGUGAAGAAGGUCUUCGGAUCGUAAAACCCUGUUGUUAGAGAAGAAAGUGCGUGAGAGUAACUGUUCACGUUUCGACGGUAUCUAACCAGAAAGCCACGGCUAACUACGUGCCAGCAGCCGCGGUAAUUCGUAGGUGGCAAGCGUUAUCCGGAUUUAUUGGGAGUAAAGGGAACGCAGGGGGUCUUUUAAGUGUGAUGUGAAAGCCUUCGGCUUAACCGGAGUAGUGCAUUGGAAACUGGGAGACGUGAGUGCAGAAGAGGAGAGUGGAAUGCGAGGUGUAGCGGUGAAAUGCGUAGAUAUCUGGAAGAACACCAGUGGCGAAAGCGGCUCUCUGGUCUGUAACUGACGCUGAGGUUCGAAAGCGUGGGUAGCAAACAGGAUUAGAUACCCCUGUAGUC